RNAcentral lists this long non-coding RNA (1056 nucleotides) under Ananas comosus (pineapple). Its description in RNAcentral is "long non-coding RNA (ACOM_LNC025083)". The record is from RNAcentral. Lineage: Eukaryota; Viridiplantae; Streptophyta; Magnoliopsida; Poales; Bromeliaceae.
UAUAUAUAUAUAUAUAUAUAUAUAUAUAUAUAGAGUGGAGCUAGAAUACUUCUAAAUGUACCAAAUGGGUGGUGCUUUAGAGUUUUUAGCCCUUGGAUGGAGAGAUGUGAGGUUGAGAUGAUGGUGGUAGGUGGUGGUAGAUAGUGAUAUGUGGAAUAGUGUUUGAUCCAAGAAAUAUUAGUAAUUAAAGAGUGGAUCCAAGGGUUAAAAACUUAGAAACACCAAGUGGGUGGUGCAUCUAAAAGUAUCCUAGCUCAACUAUAUAUAUAUAUAUAUAUAUAUAUAUAUAUAUAUAUAUAUAUAGAGAGAGAGAGAGAGAGAGAGAGAGAGAGAGAGAGAGAGAGAGAGAGCUAGAUUGGUAUACUAUCGGUAGCACGAAGGUCUCCGUGCUACCAAGUUGUUUUCAAUGUUGUGGCUUCCAAAUCGACGAUCAGCUCCGUUAGACUUGAUCUACACUAUUUAAAGUAUUUGAAAACUAAAUUUCAUAAUUUUUCGACAUCAUUUGGCUAGUGAUCAAAAGAUUUCAAAAUUGAAAAUUUUAAUGGUCGAUGUGAUGCGUUUGUAAAUUUAACAGUGUAAAACAAUACAAAUCUGAUGAAUUUUUAUAGAAAUUUUUUUUCACUAUUUAGAGUAAGAUCAAUACCUUUGAUAUUAAGUUCAAGUCUUUUUUCAUCAUUUUUAUGAGAUUUUUAUUUUCAGCCGUUCAUUUUUAGACUAUUCGUUUCAUAGGUAAAUGAUGUCAAAAAAUUAUAAAAUUUAGUAUUCAAAUACUUUUAAUAGUAUAGAUCAAGUCUAAUAGAGCCGAUCGUCGAUUUGGAAACCACAACAUUGAAAACAACUUGAUUACACGUAAGCCUCCAUGCUGCCGAUAGUAUACCAGUCUAGCUCUCUCUCUCUCUCUCUCUCUCUCUCUCUAUAUAUAUAUAUAUAUAUAUAUAUACAGAAUCCAGUUAUGGUGUUUUUAAAAGCACUAAGCACUUGAUAUUUGUAAAUUUUUUAUAAUUAAAUUUAUCUCUUUGAAUUUUAUUUCUUAGACUAUACUAAACCACCUACUUA